GGCCGCUCCACGGUCCGGGCAGACACUGACCUUGCGACAGCCCUGGGAGUCCACAAAGUCAGCACUUCCUUCGUCUCUGCUCCCCGUGAAGGCUAGGGGAGACAGCCCGAUUUCCAGCGCCCUGCCCUUUAUUUUAAAUUUCUGGUACUGAGGAUUGAAUCCAGGGACGCUCUACUACAAAGCAAUACCCUCCCCUCCCUUUGAGGCAGGGUCGCAAAGUCAGUAAGUUGCGCCUCUCUGAGAUUUGGUGUCCUGACAGUGGAAUACAGCAGUGUGGGGAGGAGGAGGAGGAGAGAAAUGGGUCCCUGGGACCCAGGAAGAAUCUCAAGUGAGAAUUGAAGGCCACGGGGAGAGUGAGGAGAGCGACUUCAGCAAAAAGGAGGAGGCAGCAAGUGGCAUUUUCUCCCUGAGCCCGGACUCACAAGGUGGAAGGGGAGCUCAAAAAUUGCAGAUACAAGGUGACUGCCGACAACCCCAGAGGCCUGCACAGAGAAGCACCCCAGUGGAAUGGAGCAGUGGACACAGAGGACUGCACUGGCUGGUGCGGGCAGAGAUGCUGACGUUAACGUUCCUAGUCCCUGAGGGAGCUCGAAGUUCAGAAAGACACCGGGGAGCCACCCUGGACAGCUGCCACAGCCUGCGACCGGCCUGCGCCCGAGAGGCCAAUCUCCCCAAGGCGCCAGGCCAGUGAGCAGCAGGCUCCCAGGGACUCAGAACCACGUGACAUUUUCACAGCGCCUCGAAGUCGCGGAGGAAAACCUGGGCGCAGCUGCUUGCUAAUCCAGGGUUCCGUUUCUGUCCGCUCAGUGACAGCGUUAAAUUCCCGUGUGCCAAAGCUGAGGCAGGGAGCUCACUCUUCAGGCGGGCCCAGGCUGAGACUGCCGCCUUGGAGCGAAGGCUCCUCCUCCCACCCUUAGACUGGAGACCCCAGCAGAACGCAGCACUCGUGAGUGAGCCCAGUGAGCAGACAGCUGGGCUGAGGACCUGCCAGGCCCCACUGGACGCUGCACUCGAUGCCCCAGAGGCGACUCAGGACGCGGCACCCCCUGGGUGCCUGGCAGCGGCCGCGGAGCUGCCCAGGUCCAGGCCAUUCUGCAGCUGGCAGGCCUUCCUUGGGAGAGGCGAAGGUGUCCCGAGGUGUCUGGGGGCCACGGGGCCCCGAGGGGCUGCGUGCGAGGUCACACACACGGCUCACUCACAGAUGUCUCACUUUAUUUGCACACGGCUGAGUUCCAGUGACCUCGUGACUCACACCCAUCAUCUGCAGUACAUGGCGACAGCUCAAGACGGUGACACAAUACUUAGAACAGAUUCAUCAUAUUUGGUCUUUAUGUAAAUAAGAAAUGUUUUUAAAUUGCCUAAAUAUACCAUUCUGAGCCAUUUCAUUCCAUCAGGAAAAUACAGGGCUUUUUUCCUCUCUUUAAAAAAAAUUAAAUACCAAAGCAACUACAUUUAAAUAAAUAACACUAUGAUGAUGACAUUAAAAAAUUC
RNAcentral lists this long non-coding RNA (1491 nucleotides) under Heterocephalus glaber (naked mole-rat). RNAcentral describes it as "lncRNA (ENSHGLG00100050833.1)". Lineage: Eukaryota; Metazoa; Chordata; Mammalia; Rodentia; Bathyergidae. The record is from RNAcentral.